GUAUAUUUCAGAAAUCAAAUGUUUUUUUAUUUUCCCCGAUCACGUUGUCAGGUGCCACACAUUGAACCAAAUGUUUUUUAUUUUCCCGAUCACGUUGUCAGGUGCCACACAUUGAACCAAAUGUUUUUGAUUUUCCCGAUCACGUUGUCAGGUGCCACACAUUGAACCAAAUGUUUUUUAUUUUCCCGAUCACGUUGUCAGGUGCCACACAUUGAACCAAAUGUUUUUUGAUUUUCCCGAUCACGUUGUCAGGCGCCACACAUUGAACCAAAUGUUUUUUUACUGCACUGCAUUAGUAAAGGAACAUUUUGUAUGAACUGUAUGAACUUCGUCAGAAUUUCAGCCUUGGUGAAUACUUACGUAUUCCUGGUAAAUCAUUUUUCCAUAUUUAAGACGAAGGUCCUCAACGCCAUCACA
Long non-coding RNA from Oncorhynchus keta (chum salmon), 417 nucleotides. RefSeq lists it as uncharacterized. The record is from RefSeq and is a predicted model, not a curated record. NCBI's taxonomy places the organism in Eukaryota, Metazoa, Chordata, Actinopteri, Salmoniformes, Salmonidae. The transcript is spliced from 2 exons.